Molecule: ribosomal RNA, 253 nt
Filed under: uncultured bacterium
Lineage: Bacteria
Description: partial 16S ribosomal RNA
Rfam family: Bacterial small subunit ribosomal RNA
Source: RNAcentral
AACGUAGGAGACAAACGUUAUCCGGAGUUACUGGGCGUAAAGGGCGUGUAGGUGGUAUCGUAAGUCUGGCGUGAAAUUUCUCGGCUUAACCGAGGCAGGUCGUCGGAUACUGCGAGGCUAGAGGACGGUAGAGGCGUGUGGAAUUCCGGGUGUAGUGGUGAAAUGCGUAGAUAUCUGGAGGAACACCGGUGGCGAAGGCGGCAUCCUGGACCGACACUGACGCUGAGGAGCGAAAGCCAGGGGAGCAAACGGG